This 232-nucleotide ribosomal RNA is filed under the name uncultured bacterium. Its description in RNAcentral is "partial 16S ribosomal RNA". It matches the Rfam family "Bacterial small subunit ribosomal RNA", at positions 99 to 334 of the family's 1533-position model. The record is from RNAcentral.
CGGACGGGUGAGUAAUGUCUGGGAAACUGCCUGAUGAGGGGGAGUAACUACUGGAAACGGUAGCUAAUACCGCAUAACGUCGCAAGACCAAAGAGGGGGACCUUCGGGCCUCUUGCCAUCGGAUGUGCCCAGAUGGGAUUAGCUAGUAGGUGGGGUAACGGCUCACCUAGGCGACGAUCCCUAGCUGGUCUGAGAGGAUGGCCAGCCACACUGGAACUGAGACACGGUCCAG